UGUGUCUCUGUGUGUGUGUGCAAGUGUGUGUGGUAUUCAUUUACAGAACAAACAUUUCCUGAGCACUGGCAUGUGCCAGACACCGUUACAGGCACUGGAGAGAUAGCAGUGAAAAAACCAAUGGCCCCUGCCCCCAGAAGGCAGAUGUCCCAGCCAGGGAGACCUAGGAGGCUGCAGGGCCUGUGCCUAGCCUCUGGGGAGGGCCCGGCUGGCCUAUCUGCAGAGAGAGCCCACACUUCAAAUGGAGCAGCCUCUGGCCCCCAGGUAACGAGGGUGGGGUGUGCCUGGGGCCCUGCUGAUCAAUGGGGAAUCCCAGCUCCCUUGCCUCACAUCUGCAGCCCUACCUCCUGCCUCCCAGCAUAGCCCCUGUGUGUGAGGCACAGCUCUGGAACCCUCCAGGGCUCCGCUGGCCCAUGGUGCCCCGCCUGAUCACCCUGGGAAGUGGGCCAGGCAGGGCUGGAGGUGAAAGGGGAGGAGGGAAGUAGAUCAAGGAUGACCUCUCAUCUUAUCAAACAUCUGAGCCCCUCUAUCACCCCCUCCUUCCAUGGGGUCUUCUUCCCUGGCUGCAAGUGGAUAGUCCGGGUAGGUAGAAGCUGGGGCUGCCUGGGUGUCAUCCUCCCCUGCCUCUGACACUCCCUCACUCUUUCUACUGUGUGUCCCAUUUACCUUAUCUUCUCUCGCUCUUGUCACUACUCUGAGUUAAUAACAGUCGUGCAUUGAUCUGUUAGCAGGCAUGAUGCUAAGUGAUUUGCGUGUAUGCUCUCCUUUAAUCCUCACAACGACCCUGUGAGGUCAGCAAUUGUUAUUCCACUAGAAGGGAGAAAGCCACAGCUCAGAGGCAUCCACAUCACCCAGUGAGGAGGGCAGAGAGUACGGCUUCCUGCCCAGGUUCUGGAGAGCACUUAGCUGUACUGCGGCCUUGGGAUCAUGCUCUGCUGCUCUCCUCCCAGCCGUGGUCCCUUGGUGGGAGCUGAGCUGUGUCCUUGAAGGUUGUGGACUGUGAACAUUGUUCACAGGAACCAGAGACAUCACUCUUUAGGAUUCUACCAGCAACACCUGAAUGGGCUCGACAUUCGUGGAGGGGAUGUUUCCCUGGAUUACUGACUUUUGUUUCAUAAUAAUUAAAAUCUUUAUUUGGUCUUAUGUAAUAUAGUUUAGAAGCUAUCCAAUCUGUUUUUUGGAGAGGC
RNAcentral lists this long non-coding RNA (1187 nucleotides) under Rhinopithecus bieti (black snub-nosed monkey). RNAcentral describes it as "lncRNA (ENSRBIG00000046121.1)". Lineage: Eukaryota; Metazoa; Chordata; Mammalia; Primates; Cercopithecidae. The record is from RNAcentral.